Non-coding RNA from Xyrauchen texanus (razorback sucker), 481 nucleotides. The record is from the annotation of a RefSeq genome assembly. NCBI's taxonomy places the organism in Eukaryota, Metazoa, Chordata, Actinopteri, Cypriniformes, Catostomidae.
ACAUGCUUCAGUGAUCUGAGAGUGUUUAUAGUGUGUGAGUUUAACACUUUUCUUCAUUAAAACUGAACAAACAACAACAAGAAUGAAUUUCAUCAGCGUCUGUAUCUGGACACUCGUUCUGUCUGUUCAAGAAAUUACAGGACACAUUUCUGUGACUCAGACUCCAACAGUAACAACUGUUCAACCAGGAGAAUCCAUCACUAUAACCUGUAAAACCAGCAGAGGAAUUGGACGGAUUUCCAGUUCGGAAUGUCCGCAAUGUCUCGCCUGGUAUCAUCAGAAACAUGGAGAUGCUCCUAAACUCCUCGUUUACCACAUUAGAUCACUGCAGUCUGCAACUCCAUCACGAUUCAGGGGCGGUGGAUCUGAUUAUGGAUCUGAUUUCACUCUGACCAUCAGUGGAGUCCAGACUGAAGAUGCAGGACAUUAUUACUGUCUGAGUAGACCCUACAUCAGUAAUAGCUGGUUGUUCACACAGUGA